This 468-nucleotide ribosomal RNA is filed under the name uncultured bacterium. Its description in RNAcentral is "partial 16S ribosomal RNA". It matches the Rfam family "Bacterial small subunit ribosomal RNA", at positions 28 to 507 of the family's 1533-position model. The record is from RNAcentral.
GACGAACGCUGGCGGCGUGCUUAACACAUGCAAGUCGAACGGUGAUGCUCCAGCUUGCUGGCGUGGAUCAGUGGCGAACGGGUGAGUAACACGUGAGCAACCUGCCCCAGACUCUGGAAUAAGCGCUGGAAACGGCGUCUAAUACUGGAUACGAAACUGGCCCGCAUGGGCAUGGUUUGGAAAGUUUUUCGGUUUGGGAUGGGCUCGCGGCCUAUCAGCUUGUUGGUGAGGUAAUGGCUCACCAAGGCGACGACGGGUAGCCGGCCUGAGAGGGCGACCGGCCACACUGGGACUGAGACACGGCCCAGACUCCUACGGGAGGCAGCAGUGGGGAAUAUUGCACAAUGGGCGAAAGCCUGAUGCAGCGACGCCGCGUGAGGGAUGACGGCCUUCGGGUUGUAAACCUCUUUCAGCAGGGAAGAAGCGAAAGUGACGGUACCUGCAGAAGAAGCACCGGCUAACCACGUG